GAGGGCCUGGGCUCUUGACACUCCAAGGACGUCAGUCGCUGCUUCACCCGGCCGGGUUUCCUUCCUCCCACCAAACCUCUUUUGACCAACUCUCUCCUGCAACCCAGAAGGCUUAUGGGAGGAGGCCACAGUGUCCAUCCCUCUGCCUCCAAGCUGAGACAGCAUCAAGGAUAUAGGGGUCCAGACUGCUGGGUCCUUGACUGGGUUUGGCCACAGACAGGAGAACCAUCUUUGUAAUGCAGCUGCACCAUCUCAGCCAUCCCCCUGGCCUCCAGGCCGGCCAGCAUCUCCUCCAGCCUGGAGACCCCAAGCCUUCUCUCUCAGUUCCCUCAGCUCCAACCUCCAGGUGUGUUUCUCAUGGCCUGGGAGAAAGAGAGCUGUUCUGGAAGAAGACACCUUGAAACGGGACAAGACACUCUGCUCCAGCCUGACUAGCCCUGAUCGGGCCAACCUGCUUCACCCACUGUUGCCCCCACUGCCAGGAUUAUCAUAGGCCCCCAGAUCCGGUGCCCUCCUCCCACACCUACCAGCCUGAUAAGGCUGGUGCCUAUCCCACUUCCAGGAAGAGGGACAUAAACACAGCUGGGGUGGACGAGGGCCCCCAGCAUCCUCUCCGGAAGCAAUGGCCACCAGGGGCUCCAGGAUGCAUCAGGGAGAAUCUGGGAAUUCCUAGGAUUCAGGUCAGGGAGUGCAGGGAGAGGAGAAGCUCCCCUUCCUAGAGCUGAAGAGAGAAGUGGCAGGGUCGUCUCCUCUGAACACUGUGUUUGGAUCCCUACCACCCCCGCCUCCACACCUGGUGGAUGUGAUGUGGUGUCUCAUUAUGGUUUGAAUUGCGUUUCCUUGAUGACUAAUGAUAUUGAGCAUCUUUUUGUAUGUCUAUUGGCCAUUUGUAUAUCUUCUUCUUCUUUAGAUAAAUGUCUAUUCAGAUCCUUUUUAACCACCUCACUGGCACGAAGCCACUAGGCUGUCCUCCCACUUUCAUGUCCCCACCACAGCCUGGCUUCCCUCUAGGUGCUUCCCUCUAUCAGGGCCUUUUCCUGCUUGAACCUUCAAUGGCUCACCACUGCUUGCAGCCAAAAAGUGUGAAAAGUGACCGGGUGCAGUGGCUCAAGCCUGUAAUCCCAGCACUUUGGGAGGCUAAGGUGGG
Non-coding RNA from Macaca mulatta (Rhesus monkey), 1147 nucleotides. The record is from RefSeq and is a predicted model, not a curated record. NCBI's taxonomy places the organism in Eukaryota, Metazoa, Chordata, Mammalia, Primates, Cercopithecidae.